Oncorhynchus mykiss (rainbow trout) is the source of this 986-nucleotide long non-coding RNA. RefSeq lists it as uncharacterized. NCBI's taxonomy places the organism in Eukaryota, Metazoa, Chordata, Actinopteri, Salmoniformes, Salmonidae. The record is from RefSeq and is a predicted model, not a curated record.
CCUGGGUUUCUCCUCCAGUCAUUUAUCUUGAGAAAACACCAAGGCAGAAAGCUACAUUACGCGCAAUUGUUGCUGGGAAGAUCCCGUUAGCAAGAUGACUAUAAUUUUGAUGGCUUACAUUGGAUUUAUUCUCCUUGCCAUGCAUUUUUCAUCACAGGUCCACGCGCAAAAUGCUACAACACAGUCCCCUGCCAUGAAUGCUACGACCAAAGCUGGCGGUGCGAGUUCCAACAUGACCAAGAUGCCCGAUGUCACCAAGAACAACAUUCCCAAAGGAGCCAGUGCACCCUUGCAGUCCAACUCGGUUGCGCUCAUCAUACCCAUCAUGGUGGGGGGCUCACUACAGGGGCGCUUCUAGAGGGCUGUUCAGUGAACAGACACCGGCAAGACUUUAACAUCAGCGGCCGAGAUGGGGCAAACUUUUUUUACUAAGAGCAUAUUUUGUAUAUACUUUUCAGAAAGGCAGUCAUGUGCGCUCCUUUCUACUUCACUGAUGGGAAUUGUUAUUUGCCCUCACACUUUCAAACCAGUAGGCCUUCAUACCUCUCACACUGGCCCCAAGCCCAUAGGCCGAAUGGUUCGGUCCUCUCCAUUGAGGCAGUCCAUGAUGAGGAUGCACUCUGCUCUUUGAACCGUUUGGUCCCGCUGUUCCUGUGUAAACACCAGGGGGUAGUUUAGUAAUUUGUUAAGAAGUUAAAAUAUCUAAAGAAAUGUUGGUUGAGGCACUUAGAAAAUAAGGUAUAGAAUCUGUGGCACAUGCACAGACAGUGGCAUUUCUGCACCUGCAGUGAGUACUUUGUCAGAGGCUUGAUGUACACUUGUUGUGAUUUAUUUCUAGAAUAUGGAAUUGUACGGGUUAGCAUGUGAGAUUUAAUUGUAUAAAUAAUGUGAUAUGCUCAUUUGUUUUUAAGGCCAGGUUCAAUAAACCUUUGAAAUGUAGGAUACUUGUGACACGUUUCUUGUAUAAUAAAAAUACUUUAACAUAA